UUUUUAUGAGAGUUUGAUCCUGGCUCAGGACGAACGCUGGCGGCGUGCCUAAUACAUGCAAGUCGAACGCUUCUUUUUCCACCGGAGCUUGCUCCACCGGAAAAAGAAGAGUG
This 113-nucleotide ribosomal RNA is filed under the name Enterococcus faecium. RNAcentral describes it as "partial 16S ribosomal RNA". It matches the Rfam family "Bacterial small subunit ribosomal RNA", at positions 1 to 119 of the family's 1533-position model. The record is from RNAcentral. Lineage: Bacteria; Bacillati; Bacillota; Bacilli; Lactobacillales; Enterococcaceae.